Molecule: unclassified non-coding RNA, 4836 nt
Filed under: Anneissia japonica
Lineage: Eukaryota; Metazoa; Echinodermata; Crinoidea; Comatulida; Comatulidae
Description: zinc transporter ZIP3-like, transcript variant X3
Source: RNAcentral
GGCUGGUGGUUAGUUGGCAAAGUAUUAAAUUGUGUUUAGGUAACGUUGAUAACACUAACACAAUUUCUAGGUUAUUUAAUGAAGCAAAGCUUAAGGUAUGUUCCUGUUUACUAGCGUGCAUGUUGGAGGGUCUGAGCAAACAGUUGAGGAACAUAAUGAACAUUUGAAAGGUGCUAAUUUUGAUGAUCAACAGCUCAGAAUUUAAGUACAUUUGUAAUGCCUUCUGCUUACACAACACAUGUACCUCCUUCCAGCACACCAGCAAUUUCAACGACCACUGGAAUCAUGGAGGAUUUGAUGAUGUUGAAGCUUGUAUCUAUGGGUCUUGUGUUUCUUUCUACAUUCCUAGGUGCCUUAUCUCCAUUGAUCCUUUUCCGAUCCAAAAGCAAAUUCAAAUCUGGGCCUGUUGAACGGAAUUUUAAAGGGCGGAUCUUAAGCUUUUGCAAUUGCUUGGCAGGUGGUGUAUUCCUUGCAACAUGUUUCCUUGGAUUGUUUCCUGCGGCACAGACACAAGUGCAACAAAUCGUUAAAGAAAGACACAUUGACACUGAUUAUCCUGUUUGUGAAUUGCUGGUCAUUGUUGGUUUCUUUUUGAUUCUCAUUUUUGAAAAAUGCGUCAUCACGUGCACAAUGAAGGAAAAAACAACCCUAGAUGAAAUAGAGAUGACUAGAAGAGACACACGAUUGAAUGAAAUUAGUGAACAUUCAAGCGAAGAAGAAAUAUUUAGUAGUCAUGAAUCGGACAGAUUACCAAUGCUUAAAAAUGGUAGCAUACCAAAGCGCCAUCAUAAUCAUCAUCAGAACCAUAGUGGGCAUAGUCAUCUUGGUGAUGGAAGACAAAUAAAUAGUCUGCGAUCUUUAGUUCUACUUCUUGCACUGUCAAUACACUCUGUAUUCGAAGGUAUGGCUUUGGGAUUACAGACUGAAUCUCGCACGAUUUGGUAUCUUUUAAUCGCUAUGAUAGUGCACGAAUCGUUAGCAGCAUUUGCUUUAGGAGCCAGCUUAUUGAAAUCACAUGCUACCAAGAGAGUCUUUGUAUUAUAUGGACUGAUAUUCUCAACAAUGAUUCCAAUUGGAAUUGUGCUUGGAUUAGGCGUGAGUUCAGCACAGGGUGUCACGGCCCAUGCAUGUUCAGCCGUCCUGCAAGCCUUCGCUGCUGGUAUUUUCAUUUAUGUAACUUUUUUUGAAAUAUUAAAUCACGAAUAUGAAAAUGAAAGUGACGGGCUUUGGAAGGUAUUUUUCACUGCUAUUGGAUUUGGGUUCCUUGCAGUUUUUGAAGCAGUGGGGUGAAAUGUAUGAUUUCAACCAUAGAGAAAGAAAAUAACAAAAUCCCUAAAUAUAUUUUAAACAUAAAUUUAUAAUUUUAGGUUUGCAUAAAGUAAAAAUUCUCCAAUUACUAUGGUAAACUUUCAUGCUUGUUUUGUUUUACAAUAUAAAUAAUGAUCUAAUCAGUUUCAAACUGUAUACUUUCCUAUUGUGUUUGUGAAAAAAGACAAGCUGUAGGCCUACUAUUGGGCUAGUCUCAUCUUUAAGUGAUGGGAGAAUAUAUUGAAUUUUGGGACUAGCAUCAAAUUUAGGUCUGACAAACUAGCUUUUGAACUUAGUUUGGUCUUCUUCUGGUUUACAGACUUAUGUCACACCUGCAAAAUUGUUGAUGACAUAUAGUGUCAUACAAUAGAGAAAAUAUGGUCAUACUGUAGGAGUCCUUUUUAAUUGAGUGGAGUUGAAUAGCUUGGUGGUUAAGAUGCCUGGGUUCAAUUCCUGUCAGUGUUGCAUUAUUAUUUUAUCACAACUAAAACAACUCCACUUCUCUAAACCUCAUAUUGAGAUUUAGUUUGUAAAGCAUCAUGUAUCAAUGUUAUUCUUGUCAAAGGAAUUGUCACCUACAAGUAGGACAGCGAUAUAUUCACUAUUGACAGUCCUUGAUGCAUGUGUUAAUGUGUGCCUAAAGUAAAUAAAAUAAAAUCAUUUGUUGUGGUAAAAGUGGAUGUUUGUAAUGAUGUUUUUAUUUAUUAUUUGAUUCAUCAUGUACCUUGUAUACAUUGUUUGUUUUUUUUCUUUUUUGAACUCUUUUUUUUGAAGAUCAUUUUUAUUUCAUAAAUUAUUGAUUUUGUAUUUUAAAGAUUUUGUAAUACUUUGUUUUUCAACUGUUGGUACAGGGGCGGAUCCAGUGUAAUACUUUGAGAAUACUUAUUUUUAGCAGGGAACAGUGAAAUUUCACUGUUUCUUUGUUUUAGAGGUUUAAUUUGUUUUAAUCCACCAGAAAUUGCCACAUUAUACAGACACUGUAUAUUUAUGAUUCACAAUACAUCCAUUUUUUAUUUUUGGCCAUGAAUACCUCAAUGCUAAGAUGGAUUCCAUCUGUAAUGGAGUUCUAAACACAUUGUACUUGCAUUACUGUAUAUCACAGCUGAAACCAAACACCUGCAUUCCUAUUGGGAUCAGCUUAAAGGUAAUAAGCAAGAAGGUAUGAACAUGAUUCACUGUAAAAUUAUAGUGAUGGUCCCUGGGAGUAAAAAGUGAACAAACUGUAAUUCUCUUUCUCCAAGUCAUGUUCAAUAGGGCGUAGUUGGCCCUUAACUGGACAUGUCAUGCUCAGGGGCAGAUCCAGAAAUGUCCAAAAGGGAGGCCGAAAGUGGGGCCGAUCGAGAUAACACACCCUAGGGGUCCGGGGAAUUCCCCCGUGCAAUUUUUGUUUUCUAGAUGCCCGAAAAUAACUUCUGAGGUGUUUUGGACAAUCAAUUUUUUCUUUUUCUUUUUUUUAACUUUCCAAAAGAGUAGAGGGGGGGGGGCCACCCAAGGCCCCCUUAAAUCCGUCCCUGACGCUAGGUGCUGUGAGAGACUGGUAUCAAAUUACAUUAAUUUCAUAUUCCCUUAGAACUGUUUACACAAAUUCACUCACUUGCAUUACAGGCCUACUAUACGUGGGGCUUGCCCAAAACCAAACACCUGUUGUGUUCCACUUGGGAUCAGUGUAAAGGUAUUUGCCAGGAGGUUAUCAAACAAAAUCAUGCACUACUAUAAUAAGUGGUGGUUCCUUGGAGUAAAAGUUGAACACAUACUGUAGAACAUUCUCUUUCUCCAAUUCAUGUUCAGUAGCCGGCGAGCCUUGUUGUAUGAUCACUGUUACCCUAGGUAUUGUGGGACUAUAAAUUCAUUGUACAUUGUGUGAUAACUUUUAUUUAGCACUACAGUAAUGAAUUGUGCUCAGCUAUUAAAUGUGGCGAAAACAAGCCAAACCAGUCACUUCUCAAAAAUCAUGUUUUCGAGAUACAGUAAUGGUUAAAACAUGUUGGAAUGUCAACAUUUUCGAAAUCUAUUUUAUUGCAGUAAACUAAACAUUAUGUACCUACAUCAUGCUAUGUUACUAUUUUCCUCAUUUUUCUAUGUUAAAACAACAUUCUUUAACAAUGUUUUUUUCUCUCUGUGAAAAGUCUGAAAUCAUAAAAUUUAAAGGCUUAAUUAUUUCUCAAUUACUGUUAUUUAAAUGCUAUGAAGACAUAACAAAAUUUCAGAUUUAAAUGAUUCUUUAACACUGUUAUAACUUUCAUUUUAGUACUGUGUAUUAAUUAUAAUAACUACAUACAUGUAACAAAAUCUAUUUUUUGCGAGGUGACUGGUUUGGCUUGUCUUAGCCACAAAUGGUAUGAAUUGUAUUACAGUACUUUCAUAUUCCCAUCUGUUGGAAAAUUAUUCAUGACAAGUGAUAACAAUAUGUUAUUAUCUGCUAAAUAUUAUUUCUAAUUGCUUUGGUUAUCAUUGUCUUAAUUUUUUUUUGUAUUUAACUGAGUUAAAAAUAUUUAUAGCAUGGUUAUACCCACAGUAAGAUUGUAUUAGGUUUACAAUUUAUAAUAUGAAGUGAAAUUGGUUAGUAUCAAAAUGCUGUUUUCCAGUUUGCCAACAAAAAUAAUGCAAUCACUCAUUUAAUAUUUUUUAUACAUUUGUGCUAUUUAUUUACAUUUGCUUUUGAAUAUGCUGUAUUUUAUGUCAUAAAAUUUCGGUUUGGUGUGAAUUGUAUUUUAAUUAUAUAUUUUAAUAGAAUUGGUAUAAAUUGCCAAGAAAUUCAAUUUAUUUUCAGAUAGUUUAGUGAUAAGGUGCUCUUUUGAAAUAAGUGUUUAUUUCAUUUUAAUAUAUUUCAAACAUUGAUUAAUUUAAAUUUGUGAAUGAGUCAGCAAAAAGCAAAUGUUUGCUUUUUUAAAUGAACAUAAAAAUUGUAUUAUUAUAUUAUUGAGAAAAUGUAAAUUUAUCUGAAUAUGAACAGCUUGCACUAGUGACAUUCUAAACAGACGAUGAAAAAUGACAUCAUAUCAUGACCAUAUAUGGUCAUACUACCAUUUUUUGUCAAAAGUCUAUGCAAAGACAGGCAUUUUGUUAAUUAUUAUAGCAGUAAACAUGAUUUAAUUGGUGAGGGAAUCGUAAGUAAUUCAUGUUUUAAUUAAAAAGUUUAAAAUAAAAUUUAUAUGGCAGUAUAUAUGUAAUCAUUAAAACUAAAAAUUCUAUUGAUAAUUGAAUUUCGUUUUAGUAGCUACUGUACUGGCACAUCAAACAAUAUGGUUACAAUCCAAGAAAAGGUUUGGAUUUUAACAGGAAAAUAAUGAUUAACUAAGUAUGCACACUUAAUCGUAACAAUGACUUUGUCAGCUGUCGGAUCAUUUGCAUAUGACGUCUUUUGUAUGAUUAUGUGACAAGUUCAGUAUAUCUGUGGGCUACUCAAACAAGACCAUAUAUUUUCAAAAAGAACCAAAUAUAAACAAAUAUAGAAUAAUGUGUAUCAAGAUAAAAAAGCUGGUUUUGCUAUUAUUUCAUUUUGAAAUUCAAUAAAACCGUGUGAUUUAA